This 253-nucleotide ribosomal RNA is filed under the name uncultured bacterium. RNAcentral describes it as "partial 16S ribosomal RNA". It matches the Rfam family "Bacterial small subunit ribosomal RNA", at positions 524 to 776 of the family's 1533-position model. The record is from RNAcentral.
UACGUAGGGUGCAAGCGUUGCCCGGAUUCAUUGGGCGUAAAGCGCGCGCAGGCGGCCUUCCAAGUCCAGCGUGAAAUCGCCCGGCUCAACCGGGCGGGGUCGCGGGAGACUGGGGGGCUCGAGCGAGGGAGGGGGCAGUGGAAUUCCCGGUGUAGUGGUGGAAUGCGUAGAUAUCGUGAGGAACACCAGAGGCGAAGGCGACUUCCUGGACAAUUGCUGACGCUCAGGCACGAAAGCGUGGGGAGCAAAAGGG